RNAcentral lists this ribosomal RNA (462 nucleotides) under Salmonella enterica subsp. enterica. RNAcentral's name for it is "bacterial SSU rRNA". It matches the Rfam family "Bacterial small subunit ribosomal RNA", at positions 43 to 543 of the family's 1533-position model. Lineage: Bacteria; Pseudomonadati; Pseudomonadota; Gammaproteobacteria; Enterobacterales; Enterobacteriaceae. The record is from RNAcentral.
AAGGCCAGGAAAGAGGAUCAAGAAAGCCGAGCUUUCUUGAUGGAGGGGAGCGGCAGACGGGUGAGUAACGCGUGGGAAUCUACCUAGCUCUACGGAAUAACCCAGGGAAACUUGGACUAAUACCGUAUACGUCCGAGAGGAGAAAGAUUUAUCGGAGUUAGAUGAGCCCGCGUUGGAUUAGCUAGUUGGUGGGGUAAAGGCCUACCAAGGCGACGAUCCAUAGCUGGUCUGAGAGGAUGAUCAGCCACACUGGGACUGAGACACGGCCCAGACUCCUACGGGAGGCAGCAGUGGGGAAUAUUGGACAAUGGGCGCAAGCCUGAUCCAGCCAUGCCGCGUGAGUGAUGACGGCCUUAGGGUUGUAAAGCUCUUUCAACGGUGAAGAUAAUGACGGUAACCGUAGAAGAAGCCCCGGCUAACUUCGUGCCAGCAGCCGCGGUAAUACGAAGGGGGCUAGCGUUG